CAGCCGCCGCGGUAAUACGAAGGGGGCUAGCGUUGUUCGGAUUUACUGGGCGUAAAGGGCGCGUAGGCGGUUUCUUAAGUCUGAUGUGAAAGCCCCCGGCUCAACCGGGGAUGGUCAUUGGAAACUGGGAAACUUGAGUGCAGAAGAGGAGAGUGGAAUUCCACGUGUAGCGGUGAAAUGCGUAGAGAUGUGGAGGAACACCAGUGGCGAAGGCGACUCUCUGGUCUGUAACUGACGCUGAGGAGCGAAAGCGUGGGGAGCGAACAGGAUUAGAUACCCCUGUAGUCCCUGUCUCUUAUAC
Molecule: ribosomal RNA, 301 nt
Filed under: uncultured bacterium
Lineage: Bacteria
Description: partial 16S ribosomal RNA
Rfam family: Bacterial small subunit ribosomal RNA
Source: RNAcentral